RNAcentral lists this ribosomal RNA (309 nucleotides) under Triticum aestivum (bread wheat). RNAcentral describes it as "partial small subunit ribosomal RNA". Lineage: Eukaryota; Viridiplantae; Streptophyta; Magnoliopsida; Poales; Poaceae. The record is from RNAcentral.
AUGCGUUGGCAGGCCAUGGACUCAACGUCCCCCACCUCCCCACAAAUCGUUAAUCUCCUCCCUCUAUCCACUUCUUCCUUGAUUGUCUAUACUUCUCCACAUCACACGGCCAAACUUGUGGAAAAAAGGGGGGCGAGACAACUUUAUCUCCUUGCAGACCUCCCUAAAAAAAUCUCACUUCGGGCCGCCACCACAAAUCCUCAAUCGAUCUCACCUGAUCCACCGCCGCCGCCACAAAUCCUCCAUCGUUCUCACCUGAUUUCCCUGCGCCGCCGUUGGCUUGGCGCACAUCUAGGUUUCCCCACUUGA